UUGAGUAGUAUUAGUUAUGUUCUUGAAACUUAAAAAAUUUGGCGGUAUUUUAGUCUAUUCAGAGGAACCUGUUUUAUAAUCGAUAAUCCACGAUGGACCUUUCUUAUUUUUGUAUUUCAGUUUAUAUACCGUCGUUAUCAGAAUAUUUUAAAAGAAAAAUAAUUUUCAGACAUUUUAAAUAGAAUUCAUAUCAGAUCAAGGUGUAGCUUAUGGAUAAGUAUAAAUGGGUUACAAUAAAUUUAUUUAUAUGGAAGUAAUUAUGAAAAAAUUACUGAAAGUGGAUUUGAAAGUAAAAUUAUAUAGAUUAAUAAUUUGAUUUUAGCUCUAAAAUAUGUACACAUCGCCCGUCACUCUUGUUUUAAGACAAGAUAAGUCGUAACAUAGUAGAUGUACCGGAAGGUGUAUCUAGAAUGUCAGUUUAAAGCUUAAUAAGUAAAGUAUUUCAUUUACAUUGAAAGGAUUUUUGUGCAAAUCAUUAUAAUCUGAUCAUUAUUUAUUUAUUAAUUAAUUUAUUUUAUAUUUUAUUUUAUUAAAAAUAAUUGUAUAAUUAUAUGUUUAAGUAUUGAAUAAAGAAAAAAUAAUUUUUAUUAUAGUUAAUUUGUAUUGUGAGAGAAAAUUGAAAUAGCUGAAAAA
Molecule: ribosomal RNA, 633 nt
Filed under: Anticheta brevipennis
Lineage: Eukaryota; Metazoa; Arthropoda; Insecta; Diptera; Sciomyzidae
Description: partial 12S ribosomal RNA
Rfam family: tRNA (bases 415-486)
Source: RNAcentral